GUUGAAGUGACAGAAUUUGAAGA
This 23-nucleotide non-coding RNA is filed under the name Cricetulus griseus (Chinese hamster). The record is from RNAcentral. Lineage: Eukaryota; Metazoa; Chordata; Mammalia; Rodentia; Cricetidae.